GUAGGUGGCAAGCGUUGUCCGGAAUUAUUGGGCGUAAAGCGCGCGCAGGCGGUUCUUUAAGUCUGAUGUGAAAGCCCACGGCUCAACCGUGGAGGGUCAUUGGAAACUGGAGAACUUGAGUAUAGAAGAGGAAAGCGGAAUUCCACGUGUAGCGGUGAAAUGCGUAGAGAUGUGGAGGAACACCAGUGGCGAAGGCGGCUUUCUGGUCUGUAACUGACGCUGAGGCGCGAAAGCGUGGGGAGCAAACAGGGAUUAGAUACCCUGGUAGUCCACGCCGUAAACGAUGAGUGCUAAGUGUUAGGGGGGUUUCCGCCCCCCUUAGUGCUGCAGCUAACGCAUUAAGCACUCCGCCUGGGGAUACGGCCGCAAGGCUG
Molecule: ribosomal RNA, 374 nt
Filed under: uncultured organism
Description: partial 16S ribosomal RNA
Rfam family: Bacterial small subunit ribosomal RNA
Source: RNAcentral